This 1820-nucleotide long non-coding RNA is filed under the name Sus scrofa (pig). RNAcentral describes it as "lncRNA (ENSSSCG00060055299.1)". The record is from RNAcentral. Lineage: Eukaryota; Metazoa; Chordata; Mammalia; Artiodactyla; Suidae.
UGCAGGUCUUUGUCCUAGGCUCCCAUGAAACUGACAGUCUGUGGCUUCCUCAGUCAAUAGGCUGGAGCAGCACCCAGACGUGUCCUCUCAAGAUCCAGACACGCCAAGCCCGUGCCUUUCUUGGUUGUGGGCAGUGCAAGGCGCAGCCGGGAGACCGUGACGGUCCAGAGGCCACUGGUUCGUCCUGGAAUUGAGCCGUCGCCGUCCAGGGCACGGCUUCCUGCUCACCAGGGCCACUGCUGUGAUGUCCCCAGUGCAUCCAAAUGGUAUGUCCACACGCAGACCCUAAGAUGGGGACAUUGUCCCUGCCCGCCCAAGUCGCAUUGAUCAUCUCAUUGGUGUUGAGAAGAAAGCGAUAAGGGAAUCGGGAAGCAGAACCUUUUAGGACGGCACUGGGACAGAUGCUGCUGCUUCUGAACCCAUGUCAAGAGUUCCUCCCAAAACAGCGGAGAAGUGCGAGGUCUGCUCUGGGAGGGGUGGCCCACACAGAUCGCAGCGUCCCCUGAACCCCAGGAACGAGCUCGGGCUGCCAACCAACACCACAAACCGGGUGGCUAUGACCAACAGAAAUCACGUCUCACCGUUGUGGAGGCUGCAAGUCCAGGAUCGGGGUGCUGCAGGGGGUUCAGCCGAGGGCCUCUGCUGGGUGUGGACGGCUGGCUCCUCCUUGUGUCUUCAGAGGUGCACUCUCAGGGCUCAUGGGAUCACUGCGUCUGUCUGUGAGGGCUCCACCUCGCAGCCUCGUCGGAGCCCAGGCCGUGUCUUGUCGCAUGGAUCGUCCCUGUGUCCAGCUGACAGAACAGGAGAGGCCCGCCUCUGACCUGCACCUGGAUCCGCACGGUGUGCUGGCAUCCGCUGCACCCCACACAGGCUCAGGGCCUUGGAAGAUUGCAGGUGGCAAACCAGGCGGUACCUCUGGCGGCCCACUUCAGGUGGAGAGAGCCAGCCGAGCCCUGAUCCGUAUGCGCCCUUGUCUGUGACUGUCCAGCUGGCCCUCCACGGCAGAGAAGAGACCGCAGGGGGGUAUCCAGCAGGUCUCUCCCGUCCCGCAGGACACGCACUGGAAGCACGCUCUGGUGGGCGGGGUGACACCUGUGGAUGUCACCCAGCCUCUUAAGUGGCAGGAAAGGAGACCUGCAUUGGCUCAACACCACCCCCUCUCACAAAGGCUUCCUGGCUUCUGCAGCUCCUCAGUCCCUGCACUGCCAGCCACAGACGCCAAUGCGGAGCCCUUGACGAGGCAGGCAGUCCCCUCCACCACAGAGGAGGCAGUAGUUGGUCCCACCAGGAACAGACACGUUCCUGUCUGCGGGGCGUCUGCCAACAGUGCGAUCUGAGGACCUGGAGAAUGUCUUACCUGCUGCCUUAGCUCUGUGUGACGGCGCCUCUUUGCAGCAGGCCCACAUUUUAUUUGUUGUACGGUCGCACCUGCUGCACAUGGAAGGUCCCACCCAGCCUAGGGAUCGAAUCCAAGCCACAGCUGCAACCUAUACCGCAGCUGGGGCAAUGCUGAAUCCUUUAACCCACUGCACCGGGCUGGGAGUCAAACCCGCACCUUCCCAGCAACCCAAGCCACUGCACUCGGAUGCUUAACCCACUGUGCCCCAGUGGGAACUCCAGCAGCAGGCAUAUUUUAAAGCAAUGAAAGUGUGCAGGAUGAGCUCACGUGGAAGCCACUGGUGUCACCACAUUGGGGGAGCUUAUUGAGGACAUGACCUGUGGAAGUUUGACCUGUGAGCCAGACCCCCAACAGAGGCCCCCACCGGCUCCCUGUCCUUGGAAGGUGCUUUCUGCCCCAAGGCUGCAGCCUCGAGACCGGC